AUUGGCUUAGCUUUGGCCAGCAGCAGAUUUUUGGAGACAGAUGGAACUAGCUUUUAUAUAACAGGGGGCAGCUUCUGGACACUUCUUACAAAGGCCAUCCCUGCAGCCCCCUCUCUGCUUCCAAAACCUUGUCACAUAAGACCAACACACAGAGUGACUUUAACAUUUAAAGAUCUCUGAGCCAUGGUUUUAUUUUGUAAAAGUAGCUUCAUUUGCUUCAGAGUGCAGGACCUGAAGACCAAUUCUGUCAGCAGUCGGUGACUAACUGCUCCACGGCUGAUGGGAAAUUAUUCAUAAUUACACUGAAUAAUCAAAAAAUGUGAAGACACUUUCAUGCUUGCAGAAGCCCUAUGUCUGCAAGUGAGUGUGGAUACUACACUAAAAGCUAGUUGAGUUAUGAGUACUGGCUUCCUCAAGGAAGGCAGGAAGAAGAACUCACUCCUUUUGCAUGAACCACCAGUGUCGGAGUUAAUAGAAGGAAAGAGAAUUGCAAUCUGCUGGAAUGGAAAUUACUUAGAAGAGGUCUUACCUGACUGUAAGUAUCUACAGGGGCUUCAUCUUUUAUUCUCCUCUAAAUUAGCAGCCAACAGAUAGAUGUAUGACAUUUUGUAACCAGCUGCCUGGUGUCAUCUUUAUGUCAGGAAAAAAAAGAAGAAAUUAAUGAGUUCCUUGGAACUGGGUGAAAAAUACACUGUAACAGAGAAUAAUACUCAGCAUGGUCAGGCAAGCAUGUCCAGAAUGAUGGGAAAAAGUGCUCAAUGAAAUACCAGGUUUGAAAAUUGCCUAGCUUUCCUGGGGGAACUGCCCCUUUGACAGCAUCUCCAGUCUCAGGUGAAAAAAAGAGAUAUUCAAGGAUAUGUUCUUCACACUCUAUCUUCUUUAUAAGUGCCAGUCUGCAUAUAUUUUUCUAAACUUGUGGCAAAGAAUCCUGAGCUUUUGUUGUUAAAAUUAAAUUGACCCACAUAAACAAGUUAAGUUUGAAAUUACUCCUUUGUGGACAUUAAGUAAUGUUAGAGAUCCGUGAGAUUAUGCUAAGUAACAUUUCCUUGAGCCUGUCAGCACCUUUUUCAUCAACUACACAAGCUGUUUUUCCAGUGGACACUCUUGUACAAUACAUAUAGAAUGGGGAUUUGAGUUACAGUGUAAUGUAGAAUUACAUUUGGCACUUGGAUUAGGGCCCUUACUUCCAAUUCUCCUUUGGUUCACUAUAAAAAACAAAAGUGUGUGUCACAUCCUUUUCUCUGUUACAGAGAUUUUUGACAGGAAUAAACCAUAUUCUUCUGUUAUUCUUGUUAGCUGA
This 1300-nucleotide long non-coding RNA is filed under the name Anser brachyrhynchus (Pink-footed goose). RNAcentral's name for it is "lncRNA (ENSABRG00000009934.1)". Lineage: Eukaryota; Metazoa; Chordata; Aves; Anseriformes; Anatidae. The record is from RNAcentral.